UAGAGUGUUACAACUCCCUAAACCAUUGUGAACCUACCUAAGUUGCUUCGGCGGGCUCGCCCCGGUGCCCCCGUGCCCGGAAUCGGCGCCCGCCGCAGGACCCCAAACUCUUGCUUCCGAACAGUGGGAUCACGCACUCUGAGUACAGCGAGAAUGAAUCA
This 161-nucleotide unclassified non-coding RNA is filed under the name uncultured fungus. RNAcentral's name for it is "sequence contains ITS1, 5.8S rRNA gene". The record is from RNAcentral. Lineage: Eukaryota; Fungi.